Molecule: ribosomal RNA, 245 nt
Filed under: uncultured bacterium
Lineage: Bacteria
Description: partial 16S ribosomal RNA
Rfam family: Bacterial small subunit ribosomal RNA
Source: RNAcentral
UACGGAGGAUGCGAGCGUUAUCCGGAUUUAUUGGGUUUAAAGGGUGCGUAGGCGGGCUUGUAAGUCAGCGGUGAAAGACUGUCGCUCAACGAUAGCAUUGCCGUUGAUACUGUAGGCCUUGAGUACAAUUGAGGUAGGCGGAAUGUGUAGUGUAGCGGUGAAAUGCUUAGAUAUUACACAGAACACCAAUUGCGAAGGCAGCUUACUAAACUGUAACUGACGCUGAGGCACGAAAGCGUGGGGAU